Molecule: ribosomal RNA, 506 nt
Filed under: uncultured bacterium
Lineage: Bacteria
Description: partial 16S ribosomal RNA
Rfam family: Bacterial small subunit ribosomal RNA
Source: RNAcentral
GACGAACGCUGGCGGCGUGCCUAAUACAUGCAAGUAGAACGCACAGUUUAUACCGUAGCUUGCUACACCAUAGACUGUGAGUUGCGAACGGGUGAGUAACGCGUAGGUAACCUGCCUGGUAGCGGGGGAUAACUAUUGGAAACGAUAGCUAAUACCGCAUAAUAUUAAUUAUUGCAUGAUAAUUAAUUGAAAGGUGCAAUUGCACCACUACCAGAUGGACCUGCGUUGUAUUAGCUAGUAGGUGAGGUAACGGCUCACCUAGGCGACGAUACAUAGCCGACGUGAGAGGGUGAUCGGCCACACUGGGACUGAGACACGGCCCAGACUCCUACGAGAGGCAGCAGUAGGGAAUCUUCGGCAAUGGACGAAAGUCUGACCGAGCAACGCCGCGUGAGUGAAGAAGGUUUUCGGAUCGUAAAGCUCUGUUGUAAGAGAAGAACGGGUGUGAGAGUGGAAAGUUCACACUGUGACGGUAACUUACCAGAAAGGGACGGCUAACUACGUGC